Molecule: ribosomal RNA, 251 nt
Filed under: uncultured bacterium
Lineage: Bacteria
Description: partial 16S ribosomal RNA
Rfam family: Bacterial small subunit ribosomal RNA
Source: RNAcentral
ACGGAGGAUCCGAGCGUUAUCCGGAUUUAUUGGGUUUAAAGGGAGCGUAGGCGGGUGCUUAAGUCAGUUGUGAAAGUUUGCGGCUCAACCGUAAAAUUGCAGUUGAUACUGGGCGCCUUGAGUGCAGCAUAGGUAGGCGGAAUUCGUGGUGUAGCGGUGAAAUGCUUAGAUAUCACGAAGAACUCCUAUUGCGAAGGCAGCUUACUGGACUGUAACUGACGCUGAUGCUCGAAAGUGUGGGUAUCAAACAG